GUUUUAAUAAUUUAAAAAAAAUGUUAGUCUUGUAAACUAGAAUUAGGAUUUUUCCUUUAAAACU
RNAcentral lists this transfer RNA (64 nucleotides) under Exitianus indicus. RNAcentral's name for it is "tRNA-Thr". The record is from RNAcentral. Lineage: Eukaryota; Metazoa; Arthropoda; Insecta; Hemiptera; Cicadellidae.